AUUGAACGCUGGCGGCAAGCCUAACACAUGCAAGUCGAACGAGUGGCGGACGGGUGAGAAAUUUCCGGGAAACUGCCUGAUGGAGGGGGAUAACUACUGGAAACGGUAGCUAAUACCGCAUACCAUCGGAUUCGCCCAGAUGGGAGUAGCUAGUAGGUGGGGUAAAGGCUCACCUAGGCGACGAUCCCUAGCUGGUCUGACAGGAUGACCAGCCACACUGGAACGGAGACACGGUCCAGACUCCUACGGGAGGCAGCAGUGGGGAAUAUUGAACAAUGGGCGCAAGCCGGAAGCAGCCAUGCCGCGUGUAUGAAGAAGGCCUUCGGGUUGUAAAGCACUUUUGGCAGGAAAGCGGUACCUGCAGAAUAAGCACCGGCUAACUACGUGCCAGCAGCCGCGGUAAUAC
This 406-nucleotide ribosomal RNA is filed under the name uncultured bacterium. RNAcentral describes it as "partial 16S ribosomal RNA". It matches the Rfam family "Bacterial small subunit ribosomal RNA", at positions 30 to 526 of the family's 1533-position model. The record is from RNAcentral.